GACGAACGCUGGCGGCGUGCUUAACACAUGCAAGUCUAACGGAAAGGCCCUGCUUUUGUGGGGUGCUCGAGUGGCGAACGGGUUAGUAACACGUGAGUAACCUGCCCUUUACUUUGGGAUAACUUCAGGAAACUGGGGCUAAUACCGGAUAUGAGCUCCUGCUGCAUGGUGGGGGUUGGAAAGUUUCGGCGGUUGGGGAUGGACUCGCGGCUUAUCAGCUUGUUGGUGGGGUAGUGGCUUACCAAGGCCUUGACUGGUAGCCGGCCUGAGAGGGUGACCGGCCACACUGGGACUGAGAUACGGCCCAGACUCCUACGGGAGGCAGCAGUGGGGAAUAUUGCACAAUGGGCGGAAGCCUGAUGCAGAAAAGCCGCGUGCGGGAUGACGGCCUUCGGGUUGUAAACCGCUUUCGCAGGUGACGAAGAGUGAGUGACGGUAAUGGGUAAAGAAGCACCGGCUAACUACGUG
Molecule: ribosomal RNA, 468 nt
Filed under: uncultured bacterium
Lineage: Bacteria
Description: partial 16S ribosomal RNA
Rfam family: Bacterial small subunit ribosomal RNA
Source: RNAcentral